GACAAUCGCGGCCACCGCCAGGUGGAACGGCAGGUGGGUUCAGGUACCAGCCUGGCCUGGACCCGGCUGUGGGACCAACACUUCCGGUGAGCGACAGAGGCAGCUCCCCAGGGCCUGGAGACCCGUGGGGGCGGGCUCUGGGAUCUGAGCCCAUCUCCCUGGCCUGGAGUCCCCCUUUGUACCUAUUCCCCAUUCCCCUACCGAGCUGGGCAGUUAGCCAGCCCACUCCAACUCUCGGAACCAUGUUUGCAGACUUGGAUUAUGACAUCGAAGAGGAUAAACUGUGAGUAUUUUAUUCCCCCAAGUUCCAGCAGUAUAGGAGCCCCAAGUUCCUCAUUUCCCUGGACUUCCCAGUCCCACAAACCCUUGCUUCUCAGCGGUGGAUCAGUUGUAUUGAAGCAGCAAUGGACCCUGCUCUCCCAGGAGCUCACUAUUUGUAGGGGGCUGUGGACAGUUAAAGGGAUAAUCACAGCUCAGUGCCAUAAGGGCACUAUUAGUAUGACUUGGUGACAAGAAGAGCAAAGCAGAUGGAGCAGUGCUUCUGCUGGGGUGGUCAAGGAAAGCUUCAUGGAGGACGUAGCAGUUGAG
RNAcentral lists this small RNA (588 nucleotides) under Pongo abelii (Sumatran orangutan). RNAcentral's name for it is "retained intron". Lineage: Eukaryota; Metazoa; Chordata; Mammalia; Primates; Hominidae. The record is from RNAcentral.